This 70-nucleotide transfer RNA is filed under the name Acinetobacter baumannii UH5107. Its description in RNAcentral is "tRNA-OTHER". It matches the Rfam family "tRNA", at positions 15 to 71 of the family's 71-position model. Rfam says of the family: Transfer RNA (tRNA) molecules are approximately 80 nucleotides in length. Lineage: Bacteria; Pseudomonadati; Pseudomonadota; Gammaproteobacteria; Moraxellales; Moraxellaceae. The record is from RNAcentral.
UUGGUAGACGCACUGGAUUUAGGUUCCAGCGCCGCAAGGUGUAAGAGUUCGAGUCUCUUCGCCCCCACCA